CACUCGGGAAGUAGUGUUCCGUUCGAUCUACAUAUUUUAAAAAAUUGCUUGACAAUCGGUAGCUAGUGUAAGACCUAUAUCAUUGGAAAUUUCGUGAAUUCCGUAACUCGGAAAUUUUUCCAUAAGCACUGGUCUUCCGUCUUGGAUUCGACGGCAGUUCGGCUUCGGCGACAGAAGCGGCGACAUCAGGAGCGACAUCAAGCAAAGCAGGUUCCUCAGAGCGACGAUGGAGAGAGAAAGAACGAUGACCAUUGCGCGAUGCAAGCAAAUCAGGACAUCAACGAGUCUCUCCAAAGAUCAACUCCUCUCCAUCCCGUUCCGGUAGAGAUGGAUCUGCAACACACGAGACGUAAAACUCCUUUUUUUGCGGAGGUAUGUUUCAUUUAAUUUAUUCCUUUCGAGAGUCCCUAGUACAAUCCAACGUUCAAAGUCUGAGUAUAUGAAUUGCAACCCCUUGGAAAAUAUUUUCAAAAUCCUCCUCAUAAAAUCAGAUCACCCAGCAUUACCCAAUAGACUCGGUAGAUUCAUACACCCCCAUAAUAAAAUUCAUCAGACAAGCCAAUAAGGCAAGACAAUAAUUUAUUAUCAUACAACUUGGUACAAUUUAUUAUAAUUCAAACGUCUUAUACUUAUAUGCUGAUCAUAAAAUAAGUCAUACAUUAGGUAAGUUAUGUAAUCAG
RNAcentral lists this unclassified non-coding RNA (680 nucleotides) under Athalia rosae (coleseed sawfly). RNAcentral's name for it is "misc RNA ENSAEAG00005006552.1". Lineage: Eukaryota; Metazoa; Arthropoda; Insecta; Hymenoptera; Athaliidae. The record is from RNAcentral.